Molecule: ribosomal RNA, 498 nt
Filed under: uncultured bacterium
Lineage: Bacteria
Description: partial 16S ribosomal RNA
Rfam family: Bacterial small subunit ribosomal RNA
Source: RNAcentral
GACGAACGCUGGCGGCGUGCCUAAUACAUGCAAGUCGAGCGGACGGAUGGGAGCUUGCUCCCAGACCGUCAGCGGCGGCCGGGUGAGUAACACGUGGGCAACCUGCCUGUAAGACUGGGAUAACUCCGGGAAACCGGGGCUAAUACCGGAUAACUCUUUCCCUCACAUGAGGGAAAGCUGAAAGAUGGCAUCUCGCUAUCACUUACAGAUGGGCCCGCGGGGCUUUAGCUAGUUGGUGAGGUAACGGCUCAGCAAGGCGGCGAUGCGUAGACGACGUGAGGGAGUGGUAGCCGACCCUGGGAGUGAGACACGGCCAAGACUCCUACGGGAGGCAGCAGUAGGCAAUGUGACGCAGUGGACGGAAGUCUGACGGAGCAACGCCGCGUGAGUGACGACAGCUUCGGGAGCGGGAAACCGUGUUGUCAGGGAAGAACAAGUACCGGCGGAAAUGCCGGUAGAUUGACGGUACCUGGCCAGAAAGCAACGGCUAACUACGUG